Molecule: ribosomal RNA, 524 nt
Filed under: uncultured bacterium
Lineage: Bacteria
Description: bacterial SSU rRNA
Rfam family: Bacterial small subunit ribosomal RNA
Source: RNAcentral
UGGGGAAUAUUGCACAAUGGGGGAAACCCUGAUGCAGCGACGCCGCGUGAGUGAAGAAGUAUUUCGGUAUGUAAAGCUCUAUCAGCAGGGAAGAUAAUGACAGUACCUGACUAAGAAGCCCCGGCUAACUACGUGCCAGCAGCCGCGGUAAUACGUAGGGGGCAAGCGUUAUCCGGAUUUACUGGGUGUAAAGGGAGCGUAGACGGAGUGGCAAGUCUGAAGUGAAAACCCUGGGCUUAACCUGGGGACUGCUUUGGAAACUGUUAAUCUAGAGUGUUGGAGGGGUAAGUGGAAUUCCUGGUGUAGCGGUGAAAUGCGUAGAUAUCAGGAAGAACACCGGAGGCGAAGGCGGCUUACUGGACAAUAACUGACGUUGAGGCUCGAAAGCGUGGGGAUCAAACAGGAUUAGAUACCCUGGUAGUCCACGCUGUAAACGAUGAAUACUAGGUGUCGGGGAGCAAAGCUUCUCGGUGCCGUCGCUAACGCAAUAAGUAUUCCACCUGGGGAGUACGUUCGCAAGAAUG